AUGAUAAGCUGUAGACCACAUUAUCUACAAAGAGAUUUCUCAUCUGUAUUAUUCGUAGCCGUCUAUUUACCACCACAAAGCAAAGCUGGCACUAAGACUGCUCUCAACCAACUCUAUAAGGCCUUAAGCAAAGAUGCCCACCCAGAAGCGGCGCUCCUGGUGGCCGGAGACUUUAAUGCAGGCAAACUUGUAUCAAUUUUACCAUAUUUUUAUGUCACGUGCAACCUUAGGGAAAAAAAAUCCUACACCACCUUUACUCCACACACAGAGAUGCAUACAAAGCUCUCCCCCGCCCUCCAUUUGUCAAAUCUGACUAGAUCUGUCCUCCUGAUUCCUGCUUACAAGCAAAAACUAAAGCAGGAAGUACCAGUGACUCGCUCAAUACAGAAGUGGUCCGAUGACGCGGAUGCGACACUAAAGGACUGUUUUGCUUGCACAGACUGGAAUAUGUUCCGAGAUUCAUCCAAUGACAUUGAGGAAUGCACCACCUCAGUCAUCGGCUUCAUCAAUAAGUGCAAUGAUGACGUCGUCCCCACAGUGACUGUACGUACGUAUCCCAACCAGAAGCCAUGGAUUACAGGCAACAUCCACAUCGAGCUAAAGGCUAGAGCUGCCGCUUUCAAGGAGCGGGAGACUAAUCCGGAUGCUUAUAAGAAAUCCCGCUAUGCCCUCAGACGAACCAUCAAACAAGCAAAGAGUCAAUACAGGAUUAAGAUUGAAUCCUACUACACUGGCUCUGAUGCUCAUAGGAUGUGGCAAGGCUCUAAAACUAUUUCGAACUACAAAGGGAAACCCAGACACGAGCUGCCCAGUGAAGCGAGCCUACCAGACGAGCUAAAUGCCAUUUAUGCUCACUUCGAGGCAAGCAACACUGAAGCAUGCACGAGACAACCAACUGUUCUGGAUGACUGUGUGGUAACGCUCUCGGUAGCUGAUGUGAAAAGACCUUUAAACAGGUCAACAUUCACAAAGCUGCUGGGCCAGAAGGAUUACCAGGACAUGUACUCAAAGCAUGCACGGACCAACUGUCAAGUGUCUGAAAGUGUCAGGGGUGUGUGCUUAGUUAUCUCCUGUAUUCCCUGUUCACCCACAACUGCGUGGUCAAACACGACUCCAACACCAUCAUUAAGUUUGCUGACAACACAACAGUGUUCACCGACAACGAUGAGACGGUCUAUAGGGAGGAGGUCAGAGAACUGGCAGUGUGGUGCCAGGACAACAACCUCUCCCUCAAUGUGA
This 1239-nucleotide long non-coding RNA is filed under the name Oncorhynchus mykiss (rainbow trout). RNAcentral describes it as "lncRNA (ENSOMYG00000066992.1)". The record is from RNAcentral. Lineage: Eukaryota; Metazoa; Chordata; Actinopteri; Salmoniformes; Salmonidae.